Molecule: ribosomal RNA, 563 nt
Filed under: uncultured bacterium
Lineage: Bacteria
Description: bacterial SSU rRNA
Rfam family: Bacterial small subunit ribosomal RNA
Source: RNAcentral
CCUACGGGAGGCAGCAGUAAGGAAUUUUCGUCAAUGGGGGAAACCCUGAACGAGCAACGCCGCGUGGAGGAUGACGGUCUUCGGAUUGUAAACUCCUUUUAUGAGGGACGAUAAUGACGGUACCUCAGGAAUAAGCCCCGGCUAACUCUGUGCCAGCAGCCGCGGUAAUACAGAGGGGGCAAGCGUUGUCCGGAAUUACUGGGCGUAAAGAGCACGUAGGCGGUCGCGCGAGUGGUGUGUGAAACCACCCAGCUUAACUGGGUGACGCCAUGCCAAACUGCGCGACUCGAGUCAUGGAGAGGUUAUUCGAAUUGCUGGUGUAGUGGUGAAAUGCGUAGAGAUCAGCAGGAAGACCAAGGGCGAAAGCAGAUAACUGGCCAUGCACUGACGCUCAGGUGCGAAAGCGUGGGGAGCAAACUGGAUUAGAUACCCAGGUAGUCCACGCUGUAAACGAUGUAUGCUCGGUAUGUGUGCCUGUUAAGGGCAUGGGUACCUUAGGAAACCCGGUAAGCAUACCGCCUGGGAAGUACGAACGCAAGUUUAAAACUCAAAGGAAUUGACGG